Molecule: long non-coding RNA, 2542 nt
Organism: Symphalangus syndactylus (siamang)
Lineage: Eukaryota; Metazoa; Chordata; Mammalia; Primates; Hylobatidae
Source: RefSeq, a predicted model, not a curated record
GCGCACACACGCACGCGCGCACACACACACACACACACAGGGAGAUUGGAGAGAGAGAGGAGAGAGAUAUGUUUUCAUCUAUCCUUUGUGGACUUCUGUUGUUUUUACUGCUGUGAAAUUUGACUUGGGAAAGCAAUGAAGAGAAAAGCUGAAGUCAUAGUGAUUAGAAGUGUCUGUGUAAGUAAAAGCAACAGGCAAUCACUGAGUGUGGUGUGAGAGGCACAGAAAGAUUGGGAAUUCAGCAGGAAGAGGAAUUGAAGUCAAACCUCACCUACUUCCCAGAGUCUUCCGGAGUUUCUGAAUCGUCAGAAGCUUCAGUAUCUGAGAUAUUCCUAUGCAUUCUACUGCUUUAAUCCUACCUAAGUAGAGAUGUCCACAACAGAGAGAAUGGAGCUGUCACAUCAUUUCAACUGCCCAGUUUGUUCCUACUGGCUGAAUGGGAUUGUCACCUUCACACCUGCCAGAGGCUUGGAGCAUGCAACAGUUUUAUUAAGUGGCUUCACCUUUCUUACGAAAAUGCAACCACUAGUAGUCUUCCAAUAAAAGCUUUUCUCAACUGAAAGGACUCAGGCAACAAAUAAACAGCUAAGAUUUUACUAGAGUACCAAAAGGAAAGCACUGGAGUGCAGUGUGGGGGAUGGAGAUGCAGCUGUGGUGGCUGGAAGUGCAGGAGGGAAGCUGGAGGCACCCGGCCUCUGAAGCCUGUCUUCUUCACCUGGGUGAGAUCUGCUGGAGUCAGGAAGGACUUCCUGCUGCAAGGAAAAGGUGAGCAGAAGAUCCCCACCAGUGCCCAUUGCCAUCACAAACACCUACAGUCCUUAUAGCAGGUGAAUCCAGCAGUCCUCACAAGUCAUGAGACAGGUUUGGAGUCUUGCUGGGAAUUCACACAGCUGCAUUGUCCCAGAUUAGGAGAACAAGGUGUGGACCCCCAACCCUCUAUUCAUCCCUUGUGAGCCAUGGUGCUAUAGCAUGGCACCAUCCUGAGACCAGAGCCACUUCUGCAGUGUGCCCUGCUCUGAGGGCCAGUAGCCACUGCACCUCUCCAGCACUUGGGCUCCAUCUUCAUUCCACCAAGCCCAUAUAGGAAGCUGAACACCUCAAUCCCAGGUUAGUAAAGCAUGGGCCCAGGAUAGGCUGUGGCUCUGGUCCUGUUCUGUUCAGGGCGAAUCUGCCCUUGAGCUGGCCAAACUGCUGCAUAGCCUCCCCAAAGCAGGCUGGGCCCCCAAGCCUGUGAGCAGCUGAUAUGCUCCAGGGCCAGUGAAGUGGCUAUGUGCUUGCACACAGGAACUGAGAAACAGUCUCACAGCACACCUGCACCCUCCAGAGAGAGCCCUGGCCUGCCCCAGUGGCCCUGUAUCCCCAAUCAGGGCCUGACAAACAAUUCCUCAGGCCGCUCUUGGCAGGUAUGAUACUAAGCUGACCAAAUAGCCAAAAGCACAUAUCCCAGACCUGAGUAUCAGCCCUGCGGGCCAAUCCAGGUGGACAUGCCCCAGGCUGGCCAAGCAGCCGUGUACCCACAUUCUGGGCCUGAGAAACAGUUUUUUGGGCUGCUGCUGGUGGGGACACCCCUGAGCCAACCAAGCAUCCUUGCAAUUGUGUUUCAGACCUAAAAAGCAUCAUGACCCAAGAAACAGUUUCACAGGCUGCUCUUGGCAGGUAUGAUCCCAGGCUGGCCAUAUAGCCAAAAGCCCACAUCCUACAUCUGAGUGACAGCCCAGGCUGACAUGACCCCAGGGCAGACAUGACCCCAGGCUGGCUGCCUAUUAAGUAAUUUCUUAUCCUUUGCCUCCUCACAAAUGAAAUGCUAUCAUUUGUGAAAAUAUGAAUAGAAUUGGAGGAUAUUAUGUUAAGUGAAAUAAACCAUGAACAGAAAGUUAAAUACUACAUGUUCUCAUUCAUAUUUGGAAGCUAAAAAAAAGUUGAACUCACAGAGGUAGAAUAGAACAGAGGAUACCUGAUGCUGGGAAGACUUGGGGGAAGGGAAGGAUAGGAAGGGAUUUGUUAAAGAAUAUAAAAGUUAAACUGGAUGAAAGGAAGUUCUUGUGUUCUCUACCACUGUAGGAUGACCAUAGUUAACAAUAAUAUAUCAUGUAGUUUAAAUAGCUAGAAGGAGGAUAUUGAAUGUUCCUAACACAAAGAAAUGAUAAAAAUUUGAGAUGGUGGGUAUGCUAAUUAUGCUGAUCUGAUCACUAUCUAUUAUAUUUAUCAACACCUCAUUAUACAUCCUAAGAAUAUGUACAAUAACUAUUUGUCGAUCUAAAAAAUUAGAUAAAAAUUGUUUUGUCUAUUCUGGGUACUUUACAUGUUCAUACAUAUUUUUGAGUCAGCUUGUCAAUUUCUACAAGAAAAGCCUGUUGGGAUUUCGAUUGAGAUUAUGCUGAAUUUAUAAUUUGUGAAUAAUUGAUUUCUUUACAAUAUUGGAUCUUCCAAUACGUGAACAUAGUAUAUGUCUCCAUUUGUUUAGGUGUUCUUUAAUUUUUUUAAACAAUGUUUUGAAAUUUCCAAGAUUUUUCACUUAUUUAAUUAAAUUGAUCCCUAAAUA